This 287-nucleotide long non-coding RNA is filed under the name Carica papaya (papaya). Its description in RNAcentral is "long non-coding RNA (CPAP_LNC010110)". Lineage: Eukaryota; Viridiplantae; Streptophyta; Magnoliopsida; Brassicales; Caricaceae. The record is from RNAcentral.
UUUGCCCUACACCAAAAAUAUGUUAAGAAACCAAUGGUUGAAAAAUAGAAGGGAACGGGAAGAGGAUUCGAGCUCAUUAGAGGAGUUUUUGAUUUUGGGUGCGGUGGCUCGGUUGAGCUCCACCCUCCGUUUUCAGCUUCUCUUUUGGUCUUUCAGCGCCGAUAAGGGUUUAAGCUGGCUUAAAAUCAGAAAACAAAGCGAACAUGAAGAAAAAACUCAGCUUCCAGCGUCGGCGACUGGUUUGGCAGUAAUGGCGACUGGUUUUCUUCUCCAGUGACUGAUCUUCU